Galeopterus variegatus (Sunda flying lemur) is the source of this 860-nucleotide long non-coding RNA. RefSeq lists it as uncharacterized. The transcript has 2 exons. Lineage: Eukaryota; Metazoa; Chordata; Mammalia; Dermoptera; Cynocephalidae. The record is from RefSeq and is a predicted model, not a curated record.
UUGCGUUCGUGCGCGUGCGCUGAGGUGACCUGCAAGUGUAGGAGGUGCGGAGGGACUGCAGGUUCUGUCGCGGGUUGAAGGGUGGAAAAACUUGAAUUUCUGCAGUCAGGAGCCACCACACGAUUGCUGUGCCCGGGGCCAUCCCAGGAAGUUCGAGAUGAUGAGCAGAUGACACUCUGUCCUCCGCCCUGGGAAGGUGAAAUAUUCUAUAGGAGCAUAUCUGAUGGGGACCAGAAGUCACAAGAAGGCUGUGUGUGUGUAGACGAGGGGAGGGACUUUCCUGAUGGGGCUGCACUCUUUCUUGGUACUUGCCCAGCACCUCCUUCUGCCGCCCAGCUGCUUUUUGAGUUGCUUUCAAAAUACGCAGUUGCCUCCAAAAUAUGCAUCCUAGGACGCUCCAGUUUCACAUCCAGGUCUGAAGGUUUUACGUGACAUGUGAGGCUCCUUCGUCACUGUGACAUGCCAAUUUAUGUGGAUGUAGAAAUGCAGCAAAAAAGAACUGGGCUGAAUCUUAAUCAUUGGCUAAUGGUCUGCAUUACCCCUAAACAAUUAUUUACAUGUAUGUGGUUGAGAGCAUAUAUAUACCUGAUAUUCACAAACAUUUUCUCAGAAAUUUUAAAAAAUCUUUCUCAGAAGUGGUUUCCCUGUGGGAAGAGAAACAUGUACUCAUCUAAUACAUCUCUCUAAAAUUUACAAUAUUAAUAACUCAAAGUAAUUUGAGGCCUUUGGAGACAGUGUUCUUUAAAUUUAGAAGUGUAAUAAAAAAUGAUGCUGAUGAAGAAUUAGUAAAGAAUCCUGAGCUUUAUUGAUCCUUAGACUGGAAGAAGGGAGAGGAAGACCAAUAAAGGAUCUUACAGAGA